GGGGAUGUAGCUCAGCAGUAGAAUUCUUGCUUUGCAUGUAAGAGGCCCUGGGUUCAACCCCCAACAUCUCCA
Molecule: transfer RNA, 72 nt
Filed under: Calypte anna (Anna's hummingbird)
Lineage: Eukaryota; Metazoa; Chordata; Aves; Apodiformes; Trochilidae
Rfam family: tRNA
About the family: Transfer RNA (tRNA) molecules are approximately 80 nucleotides in length. Their secondary structure includes four short double-helical elements and three loops (D, anti-codon, and T loops).
Source: Rfam by way of RNAcentral